This 491-nucleotide ribosomal RNA is filed under the name uncultured bacterium. RNAcentral describes it as "partial 16S ribosomal RNA". It matches the Rfam family "Bacterial small subunit ribosomal RNA", at positions 29 to 507 of the family's 1533-position model. The record is from RNAcentral.
GUGAACGCUGGCGGUAGGCCUAACACAUGCAAGUCGAACGGCAGCACAGUAAGAGCUUGCUCUUACGGGUGGCGAGUGGCGGACGGGUGAGGAAUACAUCGGAAUCUACUUUUUCGUGGGGGAUAACGUAGGGAAACUUACGCUAAUACCGCAUACGACCUACGGGUGAAAGCAGGGGAUCUUCGGACCUUGCGCGAUUGAAUGAGCCGAUGUCGGAUUAGCUAGUUGGCGGGGUAAAGGCCCACCAAGGCGACGAUCCGUAGCUGGUCUGAGAGGAUGAUCAGCCACACUGGAACUGAGACACGGUCCCGACUCCUACGGGAGGCAGCAGUGGGGAAUAUUGGACAAUGGGCGCAAGCCUGAUCCAGCCAUACCGCGUGGGUGAAGAAGGCCUUCGGGUUGUAAAGCCCUUUUGUUGGGAAAGAAAAGCAGCAGGUUAAUACCCCGCUGUUCUGACGGUACCCAAAGAAUAAGCACCGGCUAACUUCGUG